RNAcentral lists this ribosomal RNA (678 nucleotides) under Fusarium oxysporum. RNAcentral describes it as "eukaryotic LSU rRNA". The stretch from base 332 to 485 matches the Rfam family "5.8S ribosomal RNA". Lineage: Eukaryota; Fungi; Ascomycota; Sordariomycetes; Hypocreales; Nectriaceae. The record is from RNAcentral.
CUGCCCUUUGUACACACCGCCCCGUCGCUACUACCGAUUGAAUGGCUCAGUGAGGCGUCCGGACUGGCCCAGAGAGGUGGGCAACUACCACUCAGGGCCGGAAAGCUCUCCAAACUCGGUCAUUUAGAGGAAGUAAAAGUCGUAACAAGGUCUCCGUUGGUGAACCAGCGGAGGGAUCAUUACCGAGUUUACAACUCCCAAACCCCUGUGAACAUACCACUUGUUGCCUCGGCGGAUCAGCCCGCUCCCGGUAAAACGGGACGGCCCGCCAGAGGACCCCUAAAACUCUGUUUCUAUAUGUAACUUCUGAGUAAAACCAUAAAUAAAUCAAAACUUUCAACAACGGAUCUCUUGGUUCUGGCAUCGAUGAAGAACGCAGCAAAAUGCGAUAAGUAAUGUGAAUUGCAGAAUUCAGUGAAUCAUCGAAUCUUUGAACGCACAUUGCGCCCGCCAGUAUUCUGGCGGGCAUGCCUGUUCGAGCGUCAUUUCAACCCUCAAGCACAGCUUGGUGUUGGGACUCGCGUUAAUUCGCGUUCCUCAAAUUGAUUGGCGGUCACGUCGAGCUUCCAUAGCGUAGUAGUAAAACCCUCGUUACUGGUAAUCGUCGCGGCCACGCCGUUAAACCCCAACUUCUGAAUGUUGACCUCGGAUCAGGUAGGAAUACCCGCUGAACUUAAG